CAAAUUUUUUUCAUCAAAAUAUAAUUGAAAUCAAAGAGUUUCUUGAGCACGUGGUGCGGAGUGGAGGGAGACUUCUGGGAAAGGUGAAGGGAAAAGGGAUGUGCGCAACCACCGAUCGCGCCGGACAGAUGAUCGUCUGCAAGAGACCGCUUUUAUUCCGUUAGAUGAGACGUCAACUGAGAACCGGGAGUAUCGUUCAGGUGUUCGUCGGAUCGACGCAAUUUCCCGCGUUUUCGGACAAUCCACGAUCGUUUACGAUUAAUAUCGUUUGGAGAAUUUUUAUUCAAAUCAGACGAUAAUAUGUCCAGAAGGAAACAAGCGAAACCACGAGCUCUUAAAAGAGAAGAUGUGGAUGGUUUUCCAGAUGAGAGUACAGAAGAAUUAGGUAUAGAUUUGAUGACU
Molecule: non-coding RNA, 402 nt
Organism: Parasteatoda tepidariorum (common house spider)
Lineage: Eukaryota; Metazoa; Arthropoda; Arachnida; Araneae; Theridiidae
Source: RefSeq, a predicted model, not a curated record